This 456-nucleotide unclassified non-coding RNA is filed under the name Hevea brasiliensis (rubber tree). Lineage: Eukaryota; Viridiplantae; Streptophyta; Magnoliopsida; Malpighiales; Euphorbiaceae. The record is from RNAcentral.
AGUGCCAAUUAUUGGCAUGGAGACAAUAUUUAAAUUGCCUGAUGAUUCAGGAGGACUUGGUGAUUUGUGUGGUACAUGGCUAGGUUUGGAAGUACUUCCAGAAGAAGAAGACACAUCCAAAGGGGGACCAGAAACAAGAACAUAAUCUUGAUCUAUCAACUCCAAUGAAUCCACAGCUCUUGAUUGUAAAUUCAUAGACAUUUGGUUCAUGGAUUUUGGAGCUUCAUGUAGAUAUUCAUUGGAAAAUUUAUUAAUGUCAGGCUUAAAACUAGUAAAUUCCAAGUUAUGACUAGAAUGUCUGGGAGUAAAAUCCUUGUUAUUCAAAGCAUUAGAUUUUGCUUCCUUUCCAUCAACUUGUGUAUCAAGAGAAAAUCCAUAGGUGGACUUCAUUGAAGGCUUCCUCUUAGAAAAGGAAGGGCUACCCUCAGGACCGCUCGAAUCAUCAUCCAGGAAGAA